GGGGGUGUGGCUCAGUUGGUAGAGCGUUCGCUUAGCAGCUUCUCUAGUCUGCGAAAGGUCCUGAGUUCGAUUCUUAGCUCCUCCA
This is a non-coding RNA of Lasiosphaeria hispida, 85 nucleotides long. The record is from the annotation of a GenBank genome assembly. NCBI's taxonomy places the organism in Eukaryota, Fungi, Ascomycota, Sordariomycetes, Sordariales, Lasiosphaeriaceae.